GUCUACGGCCAUACCACCCUGAACAUGCCCGAUCUCCUCUGAUCUCGGAAGCUAAGCAGGGUCGGGCCUGGUUAGUACUUGGAUGGGAGAAAGACUGCUAUUUUUUAAU
This 109-nucleotide ribosomal RNA is filed under the name Erinaceus europaeus (western European hedgehog). Lineage: Eukaryota; Metazoa; Chordata; Mammalia; Eulipotyphla; Erinaceidae. The record is from RNAcentral.